GUCAGUGGCUGCUUUGUGAAGAAGAGUCAGUGCUCUGAGGAGAUGCCCACGAGAAACACCAAGAAGAAAUGACGUUGCUCAUUCUGGUCUGGUGAGAAGGAUGUGGGAGUACCUCAGUGGAGAAAGACAUGCAUCUGGAGUGACACCUACAGAGGAGCCCUCGGAGCCCGCAGCAGGAGGCAGAGCUCUUCCAUUUGGCUGGAGGUGGAAGAGAGGGAAGGGUUCCCUCCACCCCUCACACUGAGUGCAGCACAGCCCUUGAUAACAAGGUCAUGAAAACUCAAGGCUGGAGAAAUUUCUCUGUGUCGGACUGCAGAGUUACACUCCCCACAGCCUGAAGGAAUGAACUUCCAGGAGGAAAAAUGGUCCACAUCAGUUUGGGAUCCUCUGGAUUUCUUGACAUGUUCAAAAUAGGACAGCAGGAACAACUAUACCUCCCUAAGAAAAGGGACACACGUGACAUAUUUCCCCCCCUCAGUGAUGGCCCAGAUGAUAAUUAUGUCCAUG
This is a long non-coding RNA of Zonotrichia leucophrys gambelii, 507 nucleotides long. RefSeq lists it as uncharacterized. The transcript has 5 exons. Lineage: Eukaryota; Metazoa; Chordata; Aves; Passeriformes; Passerellidae. The record is from RefSeq and is a predicted model, not a curated record.